RNAcentral lists this long non-coding RNA (462 nucleotides) under Brassica rapa (field mustard). Its description in RNAcentral is "long non-coding RNA (BRAP_LNC003815)". The record is from RNAcentral. Lineage: Eukaryota; Viridiplantae; Streptophyta; Magnoliopsida; Brassicales; Brassicaceae.
UAUCCAGUUAUCUUUAAUGAUCGUUGGUUAUUUAAGUUAGUGGCCGACUAACGUAAAUAAUUAUCCGGUUAUUGUUAUUGUUAGUUGGAUUUUUCAAUCAAUAAUCGAUAAGGAGUUCUAGCCUUCUCGCUAAAAUGAGGAGAAAUGGCAGUAACUCUAUAGAUCUUCUUCUUAGUGUUGGAUUGAAGACAAUGGGUGUUUCUCCCCGUAAUAUGCACACUAGCCCUUUGUGGUAGCUCAUACUGCCAUAUUUAGCUCCUUUAUCGGAGGAAGAGGUCGUAGCAUUAUUGUUUCAACUUGUUGUUGUUGUUGAGAUGUUCUCCACCAAACUGAUCUACUCCAACUUUUCAUCAAGUUAUCAAACUUGAACAACAUAAUACCCUCUCCUUUCCUAAUAAAACUUAUUGGUUAGCCAAGUUGAGAAAUCUUGUUACAAGAAGAAAAUAAUUGGCGAAACGAAAC